AAGAGAAGAAAGCGCUGGUUAUGUGAGUGAGCGCUCCGGAGGCAGAGUGAGCGACACUGCCCUGUUCAGUGACAGCACUCGCUGUGGGGCUUCUGUCCCCUCAGACGUUCAGGGGUGAAGGAAAGAGCGGAGAGGGGAAGGGGAGGAAUCACUCCAGGGGUGGCAGCGCUAGAGGAGGGGCGGCGAGGAGCAGUCAUUCCCAUGUGGCUCAGGCCCAUCAGCACAGUCAAAUCAUAAACCGUGAAACCUCGAAGAGCGUGACUCCAUCCUAACAAUUAUCCUAGUGAGUAAUGGUCAGCUGCUGAAUUUAUUUUUUAUUAUACUCUCAGCCUAUCAGAAACUUGUUCAAAGACUUUAUUUGUUUUAUAUUUUUUGUUUGAAUUAUUUGUAAAAAUGAACUUCAAGCCUCAACAAAGCCCCCCCCCCCCCAUUGUUGAUGUUCCAUUAAAACAAAUAAGAUAAAAUUGCAAGAAGCCACACAACUGUCCUUUCUUUUCUAAUUUGUGUUGUAUUCACAUAUUUUUCUCAUCAGCCAACAUUUUAUUUUCAACGAUGUCAGCAUUUAUGCUGCUUUUAGCUGCCAGUCAUCCUACUAAACAGCUACAAUUGAAUCAUCAAAUCAGACUAAAUAGCUGAGCAUUAGUGCUAUUGUUUGUGAGUCAUAAUUAGCAUUUGGUCU
Molecule: long non-coding RNA, 679 nt
Organism: Cyprinus carpio carpio
Lineage: Eukaryota; Metazoa; Chordata; Actinopteri; Cypriniformes; Cyprinidae
Source: Ensembl